Molecule: long non-coding RNA, 496 nt
Filed under: Coffea arabica (coffee)
Lineage: Eukaryota; Viridiplantae; Streptophyta; Magnoliopsida; Gentianales; Rubiaceae
Description: long non-coding RNA (CARA_LNC005635)
Source: RNAcentral
GGUUCCUUCCCCAAGCUCUUCCUCUCUCUGCUUUCCUUCUUCCUUCUUCCAGAACCCACGCCGUCAAUCUCUUUCUUUCUACAUCUAUUUGCUUCAGCCGCCACCUUGCCCUUUCUUUUCUUUUUCCUCUCAAAGCUCCUCCUCUCCGUUUUUCUGGUUUCUUUCCUUAGCCCACCGAAGCCUCAGCUCUCCCAUUGCUCUCCCCUCUGUCCAGUUUUGCUCCCGUUUUUUCUUUCCGCUCCCGUUAGCUGCAAAACUCUCCCCACGAUGAAGCUCUCCUUGCGGCUGAUGUCUUCUUUCCUUUUUGUACCAUCUCCCAAUCCCCUAAACCUGCUCUCAAUGGCCAGCAAUCAACCUCCUCUCAGCCCCUUAUCUUAGCCAUCCGAUGGGCAUUGAGGUUGUGCCUCGCAUGCUGCAAAAAAAAAAAUGCAGCGUGCAUGCUGCGGUAAUCUCUUUUUUUUUUUUUUAUAAAAAGAAUGCAUAUAAAUGAUAAUAA